RNAcentral lists this ribosomal RNA (468 nucleotides) under uncultured bacterium. Its description in RNAcentral is "bacterial SSU rRNA". It matches the Rfam family "Bacterial small subunit ribosomal RNA", at positions 329 to 793 of the family's 1533-position model. The record is from RNAcentral.
UUCCAGACUCCUACGGGAGGCAGUAGUGAGGAAUAUUGGUCAAUGGGCGGAAGCCUGAACCAGCCAAGUCGCGUGAGGGAAUAAGGCCCUACGGGUCGUAAACCUCUUUUGCCGGGGAGCAAGGGCGGGGACGUGUCCCGGCCCGGAGAGUACCCGGAGAAAAAGCAUCGGCUAACUCCGUGCCAGCAGCCGCGGUAAUACGGAGGAUGCGAGCGUUAAUCGGAAUUACUGGGCGUAAAGCGCUCGUAGGCGGUAUGUCAAGUCAAGGGUGAAAUCCCCGCGCUCAACGUGGGAACUGCCUUUGAAACUGGCAAACUGGAGUGUGUGAGAGGAUAGUGGAAUUCCAGGUGUAGGAGUGAAAUCCGUAGAUAUCUGGAGGAACAUCAGUGGCGAAGGCGACUAUCUGGCACAUAACUGACGCUGAGGAGCGAAAGCGUGGGUAGCAAACAGGAUUAGAUACCCCAGUAC